AGAGUUUGAUCCUGGCUCAGAUUGAACGCUGGCGGUAUGCUUUACACAUGCGCGUCUAACGGCGGCACGGGGCAUCCUGGUGGCGAGUGGCGAACGGGUGAGUAACAUAUCGGAACAUAUCCGGAAGUGGGGGAUAACGUAACGAAAGUUACGCUAAUACCGCAGAUGCCCUGAGGGGGAAAGGGGGGGAUCGCAAGACCUCUCGCUUUCGGAAGGCCGAUGUCGGAUUAGCUAGAUGGUGAGGUAAAGGCUCACCAUGGCGACGAUCCGUAGCGGGUCUGACAGGACGACCCGCCACACUGGAACUGAUACACGGGCCAGACUCCUACGGGAGGCAUCAGUGGGGAAUUUUGGACAAUGGGCGCAAGCCUGAUCCAGCCAUACCGGGUGAGUGAAUAAGGCCUUCGGGUUGUAAAGCUCUUUCAUCCGGAAAGAAAUUGCUUCUAUUAAUACUAGGGGUAGAUGACGGUACCGGAAGAAGAAGCACCGGCUAACUACGUGCCAGCAGCCGCGGUAAUACGUAGGGUGCGAGCGUUAAUCGGAAUUACUGGGCGUAAAGCGUGCGCAAGCGGUUUGGUAAGACAGAUGUGAAAUCCCCGGGCUUAACCUGGGAACUGCAUUUGUGACUGCCAGACUAGAGUGUAUGCAGAGGGGGGUAGAAUUCCACGUGUACAGUGAAAUGCGUACAGAUGUGGAGGAAUACCGAUGGCGAAGGCAGCCCCGUGGGCUAACACUGACGCUCAUGCACGAAAGCGUGGGGAGCAAACAGGAUUAGAUACCCUGGUAGUCCACGCCCUAAACGAUGUCAACUAGGUGUUGGGGAAGGAGACUUCUUUAGUACCGCAGCUAACGCGUGAAGUUGACCGCCUGGGGAGUACGGUCGCAAGAUUAAAACUCAAAGGAAUUGACGGGGACCCGCACAAGCGGUGGAUUAUGUGGAUUAAUUCGAUGCAACGCGAAAAACCUUACCUACCCUUGACAUGUCAGGAAGAUUCCAGAGAUGGGAUUGUGCCCGAAAGGGAACCGUAACACAGGUGUUGCAUGGCUGUCGUCAGCUCGUGUCGUGAGAUGUUGGGUUAAGUCCCGCAACGAGCGCAACCCUUAUCCCCAGUAUGCCAUCAUUUAGUUGGGCACUCUGGUGAAACCGCCUCGGAUAACGGGGAGGAAGGUGGGGAUGACGUCAAGUCCUCAUGGCCUUUAUGUCCAGGGCUACACACGUGCUACAAUGGCCGGUACAAACCGUCGCAAACCCGUGAGGGGGAGCUUAUCGGAAAAAGCCGGCCUCAGUUGGGAUCGCAGUGUGCAUCUCGAAUGCGAGAUGCGGGUAUCGAUAGUUAUCCCGGAUCAGGUUGCCCCGGUGAAUACGUUCCCGGGCCUUGUACACACCGCCCGUCACAUCACGAGAGUGGGUUGCACUAGAAGCCGGUGAGCCGACCGCGAGGGGGCAACCGUCCAAGGUGUAAUUCAUGAUUGGGGUGAAGUCGUAACGAGGUG
RNAcentral lists this ribosomal RNA (1494 nucleotides) under uncultured bacterium. RNAcentral's name for it is "bacterial SSU rRNA". It matches the Rfam family "Bacterial small subunit ribosomal RNA". The record is from RNAcentral.